This 468-nucleotide ribosomal RNA is filed under the name uncultured bacterium. RNAcentral describes it as "partial 16S ribosomal RNA". It matches the Rfam family "Bacterial small subunit ribosomal RNA", at positions 28 to 507 of the family's 1533-position model. The record is from RNAcentral.
GACGAACGCUGGCGGCGUGCUUAACACAUGCCAGUCGAACGGAAAGGCCCUGCUUUUGUGGGGUGCUCGAGUGGCGAACGGGUGAGUAACACGUGAGUAACCUGCCCUUGACUUUGGGAUAACUUCAGGAAACUGGGGCUAAUACCGGAUAGGAGCUCCUGCUGCAUGGUGGGGGUUGGAAAGUUUCGGCGGUUGGGGAUGGACUCGCGGCUUAUCAGCUUGUUGGUGGAGUAGUGGCUUACCAAGGCUUUGACGGGUAGCCGGCCUGAGAGGGUGACCGGCCACAUUGGGACUGAGAUACGGCCCAGACUCCUACGGGAGGCAGCAGUGGGGAAUAUUGCACAAUGGGCGGAAGCCUGAUGCAGCAACGCCGCGUGCGGGAUGACGGCCUUCGGGUUGUAAACCGCUUUCGCCUGUGACGAAGCGUGAGUGACGGUAAUGGGUAAAGAAGCACCGGCUAACUACGUG